UACAGAGGGUGCAAGCGUUAAUCGGAAUUACUGGGCGUAAAGCGUGCGUAGUCGGUUAUCUAAGUCGGGUGUGAAAUCCCCGGGCUCAACCUGGGAAUUGCAUUCGAUACUGGAUAGCUAGAGUUCGGCAGAGGGAAGCGGAAUUUCGGGUGUAGCGGUGAAAUGCGUAGAUAUCCGAAGGAACAUCAGUGGCGAAAGCGGCUUCCUGGACCAGAACUGGCGAUCAGGCACGAAAGCGUGGGGAGCAAACAGG
RNAcentral lists this ribosomal RNA (253 nucleotides) under uncultured bacterium. Its description in RNAcentral is "partial 16S ribosomal RNA". It matches the Rfam family "Bacterial small subunit ribosomal RNA", at positions 524 to 776 of the family's 1533-position model. The record is from RNAcentral.